This 4498-nucleotide long non-coding RNA is filed under the name Marmota monax (woodchuck). The record is from RNAcentral. Lineage: Eukaryota; Metazoa; Chordata; Mammalia; Rodentia; Sciuridae.
UGGGACUAAAUCCUGAUUUCUAGGGAGGGCCUGGAUAUUCCUAACUUGUUUUUAAUCCAACAGGCAGUAUUUUUACCUAUACUGAAGAGGCAGGAAAUAUCCAUUCUAAGUCCAUGUCCCUGUCCUGGUGUCUACUUAAGAGUUUAGCAUUUUCUGCUUCCUUAAGAAAUAUAUUGUUGAGCUGAGUGUGGUGGCGGGGACCUAUAAUCCCAGCAGCUCCUGUAAUCCCAGCUGCUUUUGGAGGCAGAGGCAAGAGGAUCACAAAUUUGAAGCCAGCUUCAGCAAUUUAGCAAGGCUCUAAGCAAUCUAGUGAGAACCUCUCCCAAAAUAAAAAAACGAAGGGUUGGGGUUGUAUCUCAGUGGUAGAGUGCUUGCCUAACACAUGUAAGACACUGGGUUUGAUCUUUAGCACCACAUAAAGGUAUCGUGUCCAUCUGCAAAAAAAAAAAAAAAAACUCAGUGGCUAAACUCCCCUGGGUUCAGUCUGGUACCAAAAAGAAAUAUGUUGGUGCAUGCCUAUAAUCCCAGCUAUGAGGAAAGCUGAGGCAGAAGGAUCAUAAAUUGGAGGCUGGGGAUAUAGUUCAGUGAUAGAACACUCCUGGGUUCCAUCCCCAGGACCACCAGAAAAAAUAAGUGAUGUAGGAUGCACCACUUAUUUUGUAAGUGUAAUCCCAACUACUUGAAGGCUAGGACAAGGGGAUUAUAUGUUUGAGACCAGCCUUGGCAACUUAGAUCCUGUCUCAAACUAAAAAAUUAUAAGAGCUGGAAAUGUAGUUCAGUGGCAGAGCACUUACUUAGCACAUGGGAGACCCUGAGUUUAAUCCCAUCAAUCUUCAGCAUGAGGGUGGGAUAUAAAAAAGGGAGAAACAGUAGCUAUUGAUAGCUGGCUGUAUUUAACACUUGGCAAAUUGACUAAUUUUAUGUGCCUCAUUUUCCUUACCUGUAAAAUACAGAGACUGGACUAGAUCACCUGACCUGCAGAUUGAUGUGAGAGCGUGUGUAUGGGUGAGUGCGCAGCGCGCUUAGCCACUGAGCCACAUCCCCAGCCCUUUUUUUGUAUUUUUAUUUAGAGACAGGGUCUUGAUGAGUUGCCUAGGGCCUUGCUAAAUUGCUGAGGCUAGCUUUGACUUCUUGAUCUUCCUGUCUCAGCCUCCUCACUUGCUGGGAUUAUUGGUUGUGGGCCACCACACCCAUCUAGAUUGAUUUUUUUUUUUAAGAUUGACUCUUACCUGGCUAAUUGACCUUAUAGGGCUGACUUUUGGGACUGGACUAGACUCUGAUGACUAUAGACUGGGAACUCUGACUACUAAUAGGUGAUGAAAUUCUUGAGGUUGUCUGUAGAUUUGCCAUAAGGAUUUAAAGCUAACAGGUGGAAGGGGGGCCUCAAGAAAAGUCUGGCUCUUGCUGGGCAGGCUAAAAAACCUUUCCUGUUAUGCCUCUUUUCCAGCAUUGCUUGGAGAACUGCCCACACUAAAGAACAUCUUCCACCUCUACCCCACCUCAGUGGACUGACCUAUGGUCAGGCCUCAAGUUUUCCUAGUUAUUGGGUUUUUAAUAAGCCAUUUUUGUGGAGCUGCACAUCUAAGGAAAGUUAAAUCUGAUUUCUUCUGAGAUGAAAGGGUUGAAGGAGGAAAGUGUAACCUCCCUUUUUUUUGGCCUCAGGUUUGAAGAUAAUAAACAUCACACUGCUUGGACUAGUUUGCUUUGGUUUUCUUUUUUGCCUUUGAAUGGAUCAUUUGCCCAUUGUUAACUCAGCCAAAAAAAAAAAAAAAUUUAAGUCACCACCAGAAUAAGGAGGAAAUCAAUUGAAUCUUUUAUGUAUUAUUUCAUUUCUAUAUUCCUGAUGUUUCAAGAGUCUAGCUAUUUACAUUAAAAAAUGAUAUCCUUAUAAACAUGAUGAGAUUCAAGCUCAAGGUUUACAGAUGGGUAUCCCAUCAAUUAGUAUGAACAAGUAAGGCAGGACAGAUUUUUGAGGUUACAUAUUGGGGUGGGAGGUAGUCUUUUCUAACCCAGUUAUUACUAACCUCUGAUGAUCCAAGGUUGUUUAGUAGCAAGAAAAUUUGCUGACUGAUUCUGGGCUCUGGCUUGACUUCUGAGUGUUUGGGGGUUGGUGACAAAGACUUUGCAACCCAAGUGUACCUGUAACUUUCCUAUCUUCACACUGCUCCAACCCCCUACUGUUUUCCCAGGCUUAGAGUAAUGGGUCUGGCCAUGAGAAUUUAAUCCGUUUUAACUUCCAUGUUAUUAUUGUAGAAUAGUAACAUUGAGGCUUAAUGUUUUGCCCCUUAGAUAACAUGCUUUGAAAUAGAUAAAAAUGUGAGGGAAUAAGCUGAAAAACUAGUAACUUUUCCUAUGUUUCUUGAGAGUAUGUCAACCUGAAAAAAAAAAAAAAAACUUGUUAACUUAUCAUCUUUAUCUUUUUUUUUCUAUUGUGUCAGUUGUUUUCUGUUUUUAAAGUUUCAACUUACGAGGGCCCAUCUUCUUUUCUGAGACAGUGUAUAUGAAGUAUCACAUAAAUGUAUGUUUUUUGUUUUGUUUUUUUAGAUAUAAUUCAUCUACAUAGAUGCUUUAAAGAAACCAAGUUUAAUCCCCAGCACCACACACACACACACACACAAAAAAAAAAAAGCAAAAAAAAAAAAAGGAAAGCAAGUUUCUGCUUGCUUACCCAUAAUUGCAGCAACUAAGGAGGCUGAGGCAGGAAGAUCAUAAGUUUGAGGCCAGCCUCAGCAACUUUGCAAGAACUUGUCUCAAAAAAUAAAAAGGACCAAGAAUAUAACUCAGUGGCAAAAUGCCCCUGGGUUCAAUCCCCAGUACAGGAAGAAGAAAAGUGAAUUUCUUAAAUGUACCCAGAACUUUGGAAGGGAAUUCAAAUUCUGCUAUUUCAUAUUUUCACAAAUCCCCUUCUUUCCCAAAUAUCCUUAUAUAAAUAAGGAAGCUGAGAUUCCAAAAGGCAAAGGGAGUAGCCUAAACUCACAGUAAGUUAAGUGGCAAAGCAGAGAGAAGAACUCAAGUUUGCCUGAUUCCAAAGCCCUUACCAAUACAUGGGUUUGCUUCUGUCUAGGUUGGCUCUUCUCAUUUUCGUGAUUGCUCUAUAACUUAAGUAGCAGGGUUCGGGAAUCUUCUGAUCCCUGGAGAGCUAUAUAUUCAACCUUUAUCCAAAUGUUAUCUAGAAGUGCUUUAUAGUAACCAUAACCAUAAGCCGUUCAGAGUCGACUUCUUUCCAUUCCUAUUAACCCAUCUUUCAUUGUCAGUCCUUCCCAAAGUUUUUAAAACUUGUUGAUCAUGAUUCACAGUUAAAAACACAAAACUUGUCAUCAUUAUGUUGCUUGCCUGUAAUCCCAGUGGCUUGGAAGGCUGAGACAGGAGGAUUGCAGGUUAAAAGCUAGCCUCAGUAAUUUAGCCAGGCUGUAAGUAACCUAGUGAGACCCUGUCUCAAAAUAAAAAAUAAAAAGGGAUGAGGAUAUAUCUCAGUGGUUAAGCACCUCUGGAUUCAAUCCUUGGUAUUAAAAGUGAAAAAAGGAGUUUACAUCCUGACUCUGUGUAAACUACACAUACAUAUAAGUGAAACAUUUUCACAAAAUGAUUCUUAUGCUUAUUGUUAGCAUCCCCACCCCCCACUGGGGAUUGAACCCAGGGGCACUUAACCACUAAGCCACAUUCCCAGCCCUUUUUUGUAUUUUAUUUAGAGACAGGGUCUCACUGAGUUGUGUAGGGCCUUGCUAAAUUGCUGAGGCUAACCUUGAACUUGAGAUCCUCCUGCUUUAGCCUCCCCAUGUUGCUGGAAUUACAGAUGUGUGCCACUAUGCUGACCUUGAUAUUUCUUGACCUAUGUCCUUUUUUAUUUUUAUUCUUAUUUUAAAUAACAUGGUACAGUGGUGUAUGCCUGUAAUCCCAACUACAUGGGAGGCUGAGGCAGGAGGAUCACAAUUUUGAGGCCAGCCUGGCAAUUUAGUGAAAGCCUGGCAAUUUAGUGAAAACCAGUCUUAGAAAAAGAGCUAGAGAUAGAAUGCUCUGGGUUCAGUCCCCAGUACUGCAAAAAUUAAAAAAAAAAAAAAAAAAACUGAUGGUAACCCAUCAACUGAUGUCAAGGUCACUUUUGUCUUACAGCCCACAGUUUGAGAAACACUGCCCUAAAGGUUUGAAGAUGAAGAACAGCUAAAGAACUGUGUUUAGUGGGAUUAUAGGUGUUCACCACCAUGCUGGGCUUGAUAUUUCUUGACCUGUAUUUUUGUUUUGUUUUUAAUAACAUAAUAACAUGGUAGUUCAGUACAGUGGUGUAUGUCUGUAAUCUCAGCAGCUCUAGAGACUGAGGCAGGAGGAUCGAAAAUUCAAGGUUAGCCUUAGCAAUUUAACAAAUUUAGCAACUCAGUGAAACCUGUCUCAAAAAAAGAAAGGGGAUAGAGUUGUGGCUCAGUGGUAGAGAGCUCUUGCCUGGCAUGUGUGAGGCACUGAAUUCAAUCCUCAGCACCACCUAAAAAUAAAAAAGUGUCCAUUA